UACGUAGGGUGCAAGCGUUAAUCGGAAUUACUGGGCGUAAAGCGUGCGCAGGCGGUUAUGCAAGACAGAUGUGAAAUCCCCGGGCUCAACCUGGGAACUGCAUUUGUGACUGCAUGGCUAGAGUACGGUAGAGGGGGAUGGAAUUCCGCGUGUAGCAGUGAAAUGCGUAGAUAUGCGGAGGAACACCGAUGGCGAAGGCAAUCCCCUGGGACAUGACUGACGCUCAUGUACGAAAGCGUGGGGAGCAAACAGG
RNAcentral lists this ribosomal RNA (253 nucleotides) under uncultured bacterium. RNAcentral describes it as "partial 16S ribosomal RNA". It matches the Rfam family "Bacterial small subunit ribosomal RNA", at positions 524 to 776 of the family's 1533-position model. The record is from RNAcentral.